This is a small nuclear RNA of Delphinapterus leucas (beluga whale), 107 nucleotides long. Lineage: Eukaryota; Metazoa; Chordata; Mammalia; Artiodactyla; Monodontidae. The record is from Ensembl.
GUGCUCACUUCAGCAGCACAUAUACUAAAACUGGAACAUUACAGAGAAGAUUAGCAUGGCCUCUGCGCAAGGAUGACAUGCAAAUUCAUGAAGUGUUCCAUGUUUUU